AACGAACGCUGGCGGCAUGCCUAACACAUGCAAGUCGAACGGAACCUUCGGGUCUAGUUGCGCACGGGUGCGUAACGCGUGGGGACCUGCCCUUAGGUUCGGAAUAACUCCCCGAAGGGUGUGCUAAUACCGGUUAAGGUCUUCGGACCAAAGAGUUCUCGCUUUUGGAUGGGCCCGUGUUGGAUUAGCUAGUUGGUAGGGGAAAAGCCUACCAAGGCGACGAUCCUUAGCUGGUCUGAGAGGAUGAUCAGCCACACUGGGACUAGGACACGGCCCAGUAUGCUACGGGAGGCAGCAGUGGGGAAUAUUGGACAAUGGGCGAAAGUCUGAUAAAGCAAUGCCGCGUGAGUGAUGCAGGCCUUAGGGUUGUAAAGCUCUUUUAGCCGGGAUGAUAAUGACAGUACCGGGAGAAUAAGCUCCGGCUAACUACGUG
RNAcentral lists this ribosomal RNA (433 nucleotides) under uncultured bacterium. RNAcentral describes it as "partial 16S ribosomal RNA". It matches the Rfam family "Bacterial small subunit ribosomal RNA", at positions 29 to 507 of the family's 1533-position model. The record is from RNAcentral.